RNAcentral lists this transfer RNA (142 nucleotides) under Caudoviricetes sp. RNAcentral's name for it is "tRNA-Asp". Lineage: Duplodnaviria; Heunggongvirae; Uroviricota; Caudoviricetes. The record is from RNAcentral.
GCCGCCGCAGUCUGGAUGGUGAGACGGCCAAAUCUGUCACAACAUUUUGGGUUCAUAUCCUUCUCUUUUUACAGAAUUUGUUGUGUUUUCGUUACAUUCGUGGCAGGAAUGGCAGACAUGGGUUCGAGUCCCAUCGGCGGCA